AUGUAUCUAAUCUUCACUUUUACACGGAAAAGAAAUCUAGAUCACAUGAAAGUAAUCAAACUAAACAACACUGUGAUAGAAAUCAAAAAUGAAGUCAAAUAUCUGGGCAUUAUACUAGAUAAAACACUAACGUUUAAGAAACAUAUCAGCUCUAUCAUCACAAAGGCGACACGAGCUUUGAUGGUGUGCAGAAGAAUGGCAGGAAGAAACUG
Molecule: long non-coding RNA, 212 nt
Organism: Cimex lectularius (bed bug)
Lineage: Eukaryota; Metazoa; Arthropoda; Insecta; Hemiptera; Cimicidae
Exons: 3
Source: RefSeq, a predicted model, not a curated record